UACGUAGGUGGCAAGCGUUGUCCGGAAUCACUGGGCGUAAAGCGCGCGCAGGCGGCGAUCUACGUCUGGGGUGAAAGCCCGGAGCUCAACUCCGGGACUGCCUUGGAUACGGGAUCGCUUGAGGAUUGGAGAGGCAAGGGGAAUUCCACGUGUAGCGGUGAAAUGCGUAGAUAUCGGGAGGAACACCUGUGGCGAAAGCGGCGCACUGGACCACAACUGACGCUGAGGCGCGAAAGCCAGGGGAGCGAACGGG
Molecule: ribosomal RNA, 253 nt
Filed under: uncultured bacterium
Lineage: Bacteria
Description: partial 16S ribosomal RNA
Rfam family: Bacterial small subunit ribosomal RNA
Source: RNAcentral